GGGUCGGUGGUCCUUGGGCAGGGGUCUCUGAUCCCGGACGAGCCCCCAAAUGAAAGACCCCCGAAAUGGGUGUCCCUU
RNAcentral lists this microRNA precursor (78 nucleotides) under Ochotona princeps (American pika). RNAcentral's name for it is "miRNA (ENSOPRG00000022776.1, ENSOPRG00000023174.1)". The record is from RNAcentral. Lineage: Eukaryota; Metazoa; Chordata; Mammalia; Lagomorpha; Ochotonidae.